UGGUUUAAGUAAUUGUAUGUGUAAGUAUAUGUGACAGGCUCUGGGAAAACCAGACAUUUGGAGCAGACUAAAAUUUCGUUGAUUAAUGUACCAAGUGAUAGAGCAGAGCAUUGCCUACAUAAUGAUAUGCUUAGUGUUCACAUACCUAGUUUCAUACCCGAGUUAUGCUUGUUAGAAACUUGAAGCCGUAAAAUGUAGUAUCGAGAAAAACGCCUCUCAAAGAUUGCUCAAUUAGGAAAAAUAAGGUAAUAGCCAAAGUUUGGAUGAGGCGCUUCGAUGGAAAGAGUUGGAUUUAGAGCAUCAGAUUUUACAGAGAGGUAGUAGAAGGACUAUAGAUACUUAUACACCAAUAACAUUUUAUUUGAGAUUUUACACUGUAGGCACAAAUUUAGCUAUAGCUCAAUACCAAAUUCUGUGUUUUUACAGUCAGAAGUAUGUACAAAGCUCUUGUUGAUGACAAGGAGGACUUUUCAGGAUUUGAUACGGACGUAUGUGUAUCGUUUAUUGAUGCUCAAAAUGCGGAUGUCCUGAAAACUAAGAAGUAACGGCUGCAAACGCAUUGUUUCAAGCUAGCCACAUUCGUGGUAAGUGAUAAUACUUACUAUAAGCUGCUUUGAUAACUUCUCACUAGUGCCUAUAAGAAGCUUCAAUUACCGUUAAUCAAACGCGAGCUGGAGUACAUUCCAGAGUGUAUCUGGAGAAUUUCCGCCCACUGUAUCCUGUUAUCUAUUUAGAGGAUGUCAAUAGUAAUAUUCAAAGGUUGUUUUACAAUGUGCAAGAGCGUAUAUAGCUGCUAUGAUUCCAAAGUUACAAACGCCUGAAGUCUCCUAGUUUUUGUGGCUGCCACUUUGUAAACAGUAAUAAGUCUACUCAGUCUAAGGCGCUCCUAACUUUGGAAUCGUAGCUCUUGCACAUUGUAAGAAUAUUACUAUUUACAUCCUCUAUAUAGAUAACAGUGGGCGGCUAUGCAACGCUCAAGAUCAAGCAGCUUUAAUAAUUAUACUCUGGAAUGUAUUAUACUCUGGAAUGUACUCCAGCUGUGAGUAAUUAACCCGAGGCGCAUCACGGGUUAUAGUAGUCGGUCGUCCUGGUAGGUCCAUGUUCAUCUGGUAGCAGGUAUCCCUCUGUCAUCACCAGAGGAGACAUCGCCCUCAAGCUGUUCAAGCACAUCGGCACAAGUAAACAACCUAGCCAUAGCUUCGUGUGGUAAGACAUAGCAACGUGGCUUGGAAAAUUCUAGACUAAAUUGCACGUGAUUCUACAGCUCUUCCUCUAUACAGGGAUGUGCCUAGGUAUCGCGAAAUUGAAAUUCGCGAAAAAAAGUCACUUAUUGCGGGCCACGAUCGUGGCCCGUGGCGUUUAAAGGGUUAAUAUGAAAUUGAUAUACAUGUACUUUUACACCUUUUGCUUUCUGUUGUAAUAUACACCCACCAAUUUUUACUUUGUUUACACCCUAGUGCAUGUUCUAUACACCUCAAACAAGUGACUACACCCUCGAAUGAGACGAGUGGCAGGAGAAUUGAGAAUUGGAGUGUAUUGCUUUGAAGUACAAGCAAAAACCAUGGCAUAAUUAUAUGUACAGUAUUGUAGGACUUGAAGUGGCUCAACUAUGACAUGUGAGCCUACACGUGUUAUUCAGCUAGUUGCCUUUCAUUCACUGACCUAGCUAGAUAAUGUCUACUCCUAUUUCUACUCUUGCUCCAUUGGAACUGGAAUACAUGACUGUCGUUGAUCGUUGACCAUUACUUAAAAGAUUUGGAUGGGCGUAUCAAGUAUGGCUUGGGUACAUCUCUGGGAUCUUAGAGUGGCUUAAAGAUGGCACAAUAUUUUACGUUCAUUGUGCAUCCAAGAGACCACAUGUCUGUUCAGUACUUCCCCACCAUUCCCCACCAUUGCAGAAGACGCCAACGGUAUGUUUAAAUACAAUCUGUGUUUAGUGCUGCUUAUAAUUACACUCACCACCCCGAAAAAGGCGUACUACUUACUAACUUUUAGCAACUAAACUCGUAACAUCACUUCAUUAUAAUUAUAGUUACAUAAAAACGAUAGUUACAUAAAAACGAGUAUUCAGUAUAGCCAAUUAUAAUUAUUUAUGCAGAGCAGGAUGCCGUUCCCAUUUCAUUCCACAGAAGAAAACCCCACUCUGGCCGUCCAAAUAUCUUUGGAAACUAACAUUUCUGCAAGACAAGUAAGUUGCUUUUUGCAGAAUUCAUAUAUACUACUGGCUUCUGGCUUCGAGUUUGCAAAAAAAGUCAACUUCUGAUGUCGAACUUUUGCCGUCGAACCUGAGCCCGAGCCCUCUUCAUUAAACCGAUAUCGCUGUCUAUUGACUUUCUUUUUAUUGUAGUGUACUCAAGCUCAGAAGACUAUUUUUUGCGUCAAUUUAAGAUACCCAACGACGGUCAACGGCAGAUAUCACAGACCAUACACAAAUGACACUAAAAUAUGAUAAUGUUCUGUAUACUACGUGGAACCCGAGGCACCCAGCCAUAAUAUUGUGCACUUUAUGGAAACGGACGAGGAUUGCAAUACUUCAUCAUUUUAUUUUGGAGGCGAACAACUUCUGCAAUUGCUUACGCUACCACAAGAAAUCUAAUGCAAGAAAUCCCCCAAGUUCAUCAGUUCACUUUUCUGGUAUAAAAUAUAGUAGAGGAAGGGGAUUGAAAACGAGAACGAAAUCACAUGAACGAGAUCACAUGAACUCGCGUUUGACGGAAGCAGCAUGGCAUGGCAGGGCAGGAAGAAGUACACAGGAAGUAUAAAGAUUUACGUGUUGCUAGUACGUGUUGCUAGGAAGAAUGGUGUAUCAAGUUCUCUACUCUUGAAAUGUCUCUUACAAGGGGAUUCCUUCAAAAUAUCCACUCCUGCUGCAGCAAGUACACUUAAGAAGCAAUAAGAUUGCUGAGAAGCUGGUUCCUGCCAAUCUCAAGUUUUUCAAAGGGACUGCUUCAGAAAGUGCUUCCAGUCCACAGCCAAAACAGAGAGAGAAAAUGUGGACGACCUACCACACUGUGCGAACAUCCAAGAUUUACCAUGAAAUCUGGGCUUCCCUGCUAAAGUGUGUUCUAUCGGCACCAUAAUUUAAUGUUCAAAGAGCUAACGUGCAAUCCACGGCAAGACCCAAGUACACUCUACCUCAGAAGAGUGCUGCAGGCUAUAUUCCACGAGAAAAACUUCGAAAAUCAACUGAAAAAUGCUACUUUGUAGUGAGCAUUGGACGAGAGUGAGCAUGAAUCGCAGAAGUGGGUGGAGUUAAUCAAGGUGGAGUUAAUCAACAGAGGUGGUGUCACCAAUAACUUAACUUAUGAACUGUUUGUUGCAAUGGAAUUGAGAAAACAUGUUAAGCACCUAAUGUUAAAAAAAAUGAGGAUGUUAAUUUUCUGUGGUGUACAGACUGGGUGUACAGACUGGCAGUGGUGUACAGACUGGCCCUGUUAAGAAUAAUUGUUAAGAAUAAUUUUGUCGAAGAUUGGGUAAAAAUUCGUGGAUUAAUUUUCAUUGGCAAGUGCUUGGGUUGAAAAGUUCAAAGUUACUCGGAAACAGACUACACCCAGAAGCAGUUAAUUUUUAAACCGAAAGCGAAGUCAGACUGCCAGCAGCCAACUCCUGAAGAUGCCUCUGACUCAGAUUAACGAGGUUCAAUUGUUAUGUUAUUCAAUUGUUAUGUUAUGUCUCAUCAUCAUCCAUCAUCAUCAUAAUCAUCAAAACAGUAGUUGCAAUUAAAUAAUGAGUCAGCAUGUUUAACGGUUCAUGAAUGUUCUCGAACUUUUACCUCUACAGUCGAGUUAAUGACUCGUAGGGCUUGGGUGUUCUUCGUAUCUUGACAGAUUCUUUGGCAUCUUGAGUACGAGUUCAAUAAACGACUUGCCUGCAAAAGAUGAAUGUUAAUGGAGGAUGCCGGCUGACAUUUCUAGCGAAGUACCACUACACAAUACCCUAGCAUUGAGUAACGUUUGCUUCUCAUUGUGAUGUCAAUUUCGCAAGGAGCCUACAUUUUUCUCAUCAAGCGUUGUAGACUAUCUGGAACAGCAGCUGCUGUUAAAGCAUGCUGUGAUAUGUGACAGGCUGUAUAAUCCCAAAGCGCUGUCUAAGCAGUUAACACUGCUAUAUGCACACUAAGCAUAAUUAUCGGCUCUAUCAAUUGGUCAGAGCCUGUCACAUAAUUAUCUUUUAUUAUCUUUUCCGUUUUUCAAAUAUCGAAAACACACAAUAGGCACACACAAGUUAGGGCAUAUAAACAAGACCCGCCCCCGCCAAGCAGGUCGCCGGUCAGAGCACACAUACAUAAAAUGUUGGUGUGACUCCUUGGCCUCAGUACAGUCAUAGAUAAACACACUAUAGAUAAACACACUAUUAGCAAAACACUAUUAGCAAACACUAUUAGCUUUUCUUUCCCUGGCAACAAAUCGCCGGAUUGAGCACUAUCACUGAGAGGAAUCGUAGAUCUCGGAUACUGUACCUUGCUGAUCCCGCACAACCUUUUACAUUCACUUGACUAAAAAUCAAAAAUGACAUUUCAUUCUGUGGGUUUUAUAAUGGAAAUGUGGAUGACACUUUCGGUACAAGAUAGCAGCUUCAACAGCUAUCACCGAUUCACCUUUCAUUUUAUAAUCACACAAAAAAAACAUAUACGGUCUGGCGGUGGCCGAGAUGUUCGCUGUCUAGAUCUGCAAAGAAAUGCAAAGAAAUCAAAAUGUACUCAAGCGUUCUUAGAGAAUAAGCUCUACUAUCAAAGGUGUCACAUGGAUUCUACUCCUCCAU
Halichondria panicea is the source of this 4761-nucleotide long non-coding RNA. RefSeq lists it as uncharacterized. NCBI's taxonomy places the organism in Eukaryota, Metazoa, Porifera, Demospongiae, Suberitida, Halichondriidae. The record is from RefSeq and is a predicted model, not a curated record. The transcript has 6 exons.